GUGGUAUCUAUUUCCUGUAAAUAAUGAAGAUUUACAGCCUAUUCGGUUGGUCAGAGAUGACAAGAGAUUUUAUACCAUUGGGAGUGUUUUGCAUCAUGACUCGGAGGGAACAUCAAUUCAUUUACCUUUUUCUCAGGUGCAUAAAUCCCACGCACGUAUUACAUGCAAAGAUAACAUCUUUUACUUGACUAACUUGCAGAGGCAGCAUGGCACCUGGAUCAAUGACACUGAAGGAAGAAGAUACAAAGUUCCACCAAAUUUCCCCACUCGCUUGCGCUCAUCUUUCUCAAUUCAAUUUGGUUCUGAUAAGAA
Molecule: long non-coding RNA, 312 nt
Organism: Phalaenopsis equestris
Lineage: Eukaryota; Viridiplantae; Streptophyta; Magnoliopsida; Asparagales; Orchidaceae
Exons: 4
Source: RefSeq, a predicted model, not a curated record